RNAcentral lists this long non-coding RNA (958 nucleotides) under Phoenix dactylifera (date palm). RNAcentral describes it as "long non-coding RNA (PDAC_LNC013437)". Lineage: Eukaryota; Viridiplantae; Streptophyta; Magnoliopsida; Arecales; Arecaceae. The record is from RNAcentral.
UGAUGUGACACUUCAAUUUGUUUGCACUGAUGAUCAAUUAGCUGAUAUCUUCACAAAACCCUUGAGUGAAGAGAGAUUUAGUGUGCUUAGGAGAGGAUUAGGAAGUGAUUGAUCCAUCCUAGUGAUAUUCUCUUCCAGUUCAUUGAUUUUGAUGAUUAGCUUGUGUUAAAUAUGGAGUUUCUCAUUUAUAAUCAUCAAAUCAGAUCAUAACUUAGUGAUUGUCCCUUGGUUGGUACGAAAAUAGCAUGAUUUUUAGGUGUGUGCCAGAGUUCGAGUCGACUCGAGUAAGUUUCAGAGUCGGCUCAUAAGGGGGAGUCGACUCGCACAUAGACGGAAGUCGACUCGAGGUCGAUGGCAGCAUAGGGGGAGUCGACUCGCGCAUAUUUUGGAGUCGACUCGAGGUCGAGUCGACUCGCGACUAACUGGAGUCGACUCGCGGUCGGGAUCCGAGUUUUUUAACCCUAAUCCAAGCGUUUAAUCAACACUUCUAUUCAUCGCCUCCACUAUUCACAAAACCCUAGAGCCAUCUCCGACAUCGUCUCCGACCCUGGUUAGAGUUUUUCCGUCGACCUUCUUCCGUCCAUUAGGGUUUUACCCCAUUCCUAGGUCAACCAUGCCCCGUAAGUCGGUUGUCCCAAGCCGGAAGAGGCCCCAACCCGCGAGCGGCACCGAGCGACGGUCCAAGGCUCGGAACAAUCCCGUGAGGCCACAACCUCCGGUUCGUUCCCCGCCGAGGCCGGUUCCCUCGCAUCCGUGCGCCGGGAAGGCGGUCUCCACCGGGAGAUAUGUCAACUUCGACUAUCUCUCCCGGGAAGGCUUUACCAUAGGGGAUAGGUUGAGGGCCCAAGGCCUAGAGUUCUUUUGUUCUCUAGAUCUCCCCACAUACCCAGGGCUAGUUAGGAAGUUCUAUGGUACAGUGUCUAGGGAGAAUGGUGGGAUACAGGGAACCGUAGCGGGU